Molecule: ribosomal RNA, 377 nt
Filed under: uncultured bacterium
Lineage: Bacteria
Description: bacterial SSU rRNA
Rfam family: Bacterial small subunit ribosomal RNA
Source: RNAcentral
CUCCUACGGGAGGCAGCAGUGGGGAAUUUUGGACAAUGGGGGCAACCCUGAUCCAGCCAUGCCGCGUGCAGGAUGAAGGCCUUCGGGUUGUAAACUGCUUUUGUCAGGGACGAAAAGGACCGUGUUAAUACCAUGGUCUGCUGACGGUACCUGAAGAAUAAGCACCGGCUAACUACGUGCCAGCAGCCGCGGUAAUACGUAGGGUGCAAGCGUUAAUCGGAAUUACUGGGCGUAAAGCGUGCGCAGGCGGUUCUGUAAGACAGAUGUGACUCCCCGGGCUCAACCUGGGAAUUGCAUUUGUGACUGCAGGACUAGAGUUCAUCAGAGGGGGGUGGAAUUCCAAGUGUAGCAGUGAAAUGCGUAGAUAUUUGGAAGAA